This is a non-coding RNA of Acanthoscelides obtectus, 81 nucleotides long. The record is from the annotation of a GenBank genome assembly. NCBI's taxonomy places the organism in Eukaryota, Metazoa, Arthropoda, Insecta, Coleoptera, Chrysomelidae.
GCAGGGGUGGCAUAGUGGUAGACGCUGCAGUCUCCUAAUCAGUCAGCGUGCGCUGCGCGGGUUCGAAUCUUGUCCCAAGAG